GGUCACCGCAAGGGAAGCUGGCGACCGAAGCCCCGAUAAACGGCGGCCGUAACUAUGACGGUCCUAAGGUAGCGAAAUUCCUUGUCGGGUAAGUUCCGACCCGCACGAAAGGCGUAAUGAUUUGGAUACUGUCUCGGAGAGGGGCUCGGUGAAAUAGACUUGUCUGUGAAGAUGCGGACUACCUGCACCUGGACAGAAAGACCCUAUGAAGCUUUACUGUAACUUGAAAUUGAAAUUGGACUUUAGUCGCGCAGCAUAGGUGGGAAGCGUUGAGCAUAUUCUUGCGGGAAUAUAGGAGCUAUCAGUGAGAUACCACUCUUCUAAUGUUAGAUUUCUAACUUUGAACCAUUAUCUGGUCAAAGAACAGUUUCAGGCGGGCAGUUUGACUGGGGCGGUCGCCUCC
Molecule: ribosomal RNA, 403 nt
Filed under: Asterionellopsis glacialis
Lineage: Eukaryota; Bacillariophyta; Plagiogrammaphyceae; Rhaphoneidales; Asterionellopsidaceae
Description: partial Bacterial large subunit ribosomal RNA
Rfam family: Bacterial large subunit ribosomal RNA
Source: RNAcentral